UACAGAGGUCUCAAGCGUUGUUCGGAUUCAUUGGGCGUAAAGGGUGCGUAGGCGGCGCGGUAAGUCGGGUGUGAAAUCUUGGAGCUUAACUUCGAAACUGCAUUCGAUACUGCCGUGCUUGAGGACUGGAGAGGAGACUGGAAUUUACGGUGUAGCGGUGAAAUGCGUAGAUAUCGUAAGGAAGACCAGUGGCGAAGGCGGGUCUCUGGACAGUUCCUGACGCUGAGGCACGAAGGCCAGGGGGGCAAACGGG
This 253-nucleotide ribosomal RNA is filed under the name uncultured bacterium. Its description in RNAcentral is "partial 16S ribosomal RNA". It matches the Rfam family "Bacterial small subunit ribosomal RNA", at positions 524 to 776 of the family's 1533-position model. The record is from RNAcentral.